Molecule: RNA transcript, 1412 nt
Organism: Glycine soja
Lineage: Eukaryota; Viridiplantae; Streptophyta; Magnoliopsida; Fabales; Fabaceae
Exons: 6
Source: RefSeq, a predicted model, not a curated record
UUCUGUCUAAAAUUCACGCGUUCACGGAGGCGGACCUGUCUCUCUCUCCUAGGUUUGAAUAACGAACUGCUACAGCAGCAUUUCCGGCGUCUUCUAGAAAAAACAUUCACUCUUCUCUUUCCCUCUAUCUCUAUAUAAUUCUAAGCUUGUUUGGUUAGGCCGCGUUUGGGAGAAAGAAAAGGUAAGGUAAACCGAAUAAUUUGAUACCCCUCUUGUCUCGUAACUAACGAUGGCAGCGUUCCGAUGGAAGAGCUUUGAGGAGAACGAGGAUCACCCUGAACUGUUCUUUCACUUUCUUUGAAGUUAAUGCUGGAAAAAGUCUAUUUGUAUCAUUUGGAAAGAAGUAAGCUUAAGCUGCCUAGGAUAUUAUUUUUAAUGUUGUGAAGAUUUUCUUGGGUAUUGCAUGAGUGCCUCAUCCACGAAUGUAAAAUUAUUUGUCUGGCUGAAGUCCUUAACAAUUAUUUGUUGUUUGUAGUAAGUUCAUCAAAUACUUACACUAAGACAUUUAUUGGGAUUGAUGGAGCUGGAAAGCGAUUAGCUGAUGAAAGAGUGUUUUUGUGGAGGUUGAGCCAAUUCUAAGAUCUGCAAUGGACGGGCACAAUGUGUGUUUUUGCCUAUGGUCAAACAGGCACAGGCAAGACAUUCACCAUGGAUGGUACAAAUGAGGAGCCAAGAAUUGUUCCGCGUGCACUUGAAGAGUUCUUUCGUCAAGCCUCUUUGGAUAAUUCAUCUUCUUUUACUUUUACAAUGAGCAUGUUGGAAGUUUAUAUGGGCAAUCUCAGGGACCUUUUAUCUCCAAGACAGUCUAGUAGACCACAUGAACAAUAUAUGACAAAGUGGUAACCUUUUAUCUCCAAUCUCAGAUCUACCUCUUGGACUAAUGUGAAUGAGGCAUCAAGCAGGUCACACAGGUGGGUUAUAGGUUUACUUAGAUACUUCAGAGUAUUUUAAUGGGUUUCUCAGCUUGAUAGUUACAUUAUCUGUUUAGCUUCAUAUAUCUAGCUUGACGAGGAUAAACAUAUUUCGGCAUGGGGAUGCAUUGGAAGCCAAAAGUGAAGUAAGUAAAUUGUGGAUGAUUGAUCUUGAAGGCUGCAAACAGUUGCUUAAAACUGGAGCCAAAGGACUAACACUUGAUGAGGGCAGAGCCAUUAAUCUUUCCCUUUCAGCUUUAGGUGAUGUUGUUGCUGCUUUGAAGAGAAAGAGGUGUCAUGUGCCUUACAGGAAUAGCUAGCUGGCUCAAAUACUAAAAGAUUCUCUUGCCAGAGAGAUUUGUGACUCUUGUUAGAGCUUCUCUCCAUCCUGAUCUUUGCUAGUUCACACAAGCACCAUGUUGAGGAAGCAUAGCUCUUUGAGAAGACAACAACGAAAAUGCGAGAGCCUUCGAUCGCUUGUAGCAGCUCAGGUGCUAUGGA